RNAcentral lists this ribosomal RNA (647 nucleotides) under Aporrectodea jassyensis. RNAcentral's name for it is "partial 16S ribosomal RNA". The record is from RNAcentral. Lineage: Eukaryota; Metazoa; Annelida; Clitellata; Crassiclitellata; Lumbricidae.
AUCCUUCAAAUCUUAUAAAAUUUAACUAAAUAAAACAAUUUUAUACUCUAACUUCCAUAUAUCUAAUAAACUAAAAAGUACUAAAAAGGAAAAAAUCAAUAACUUAAAGUAGUGAACACCCACGUACCUUGUGCAUUAUGGUUUUACAAGCUUUAAAUUGACAAUAAUCUCCCGAAUUCUGCGCGAGCUGCUUUUAUAUAGCUAAGAGCCCACUACUAGUUGUAGCAACAACUUUAGAAAAUAUUUUAGCAGGGGCUACAUACCAAACGCGCCAGAAAAUUGCUGGUUCUCAAUAAAAUUUAUAAAUUAAAACAUAUAAUACUUAUUAUAGUGUAAGAUCUUAGAGGAUAAGCCCUAUGAUCUCAAGCCAAUAAACCCUACUAUCUAAAUGACUAGGCCUAAAACCAGCCACUAACAGUACUUUACCGUUCAAAUUAUUUAAUAAAUAAAUAAUAUGCCCCAUAGAAUUGAGAUUUAUUAUAAACAAAUACUAUUAAAAUAUUAUGUAAAAAUAAGUAUUAGAAUAACUAUAACCUAUUCACCCAAUUAACUAAUAAUAGCUUAUAAAGGAACUCGGCAAAUCUUAUUUCGACUGUUUAUCAAAAACAUUGCUUCUUGUGAAAUUAUAAGAAGUAAUUCCUGCCCAG